CCUACGGGAGGCAGCAGUGAGAAAUAUUGGUCAAUGGCCGGAAGGCUGAACCAGCCAUGCCGCGUGAAGGUCAGUGCCCUAUGGGCGUUAAACUUCUUUUGUGCGGGAGCAAUAAUGGUCACGUGUGGCCAGACGAGAGUACCGUACGAAUAAGCAUCGGCUAACUCCGUGCCAGCAGCCGCGGUAAUACGGGGGAUGCAAGCGUUAUCCGGAUUUAUUGGGGUUAAAGGGUGCGUAGGCUGUGAGGUAAGUCAGCGGUGAAAUGCCCCCGCUCAACGGGGUGAAGUGCCAUUGAUACUGCCUUGCUGGAAUGCGGAUGCCGUGGGAGGAAUGUGUGGUGUAGCGGUGAAAUGCAUAGAUAUCACACAGAACACCGAUUGCGAAGGCAUCUCACGAAUCCGCGAUUGACGCUGAUGCACGAAAGCGUGGGUAUCAAACAGGAUUAGAUACCCCAGUAGUC
RNAcentral lists this ribosomal RNA (460 nucleotides) under uncultured bacterium. RNAcentral's name for it is "partial 16S ribosomal RNA". It matches the Rfam family "Bacterial small subunit ribosomal RNA", at positions 338 to 795 of the family's 1533-position model. The record is from RNAcentral.